Molecule: ribosomal RNA, 413 nt
Filed under: Pseudorhizobium halotolerans
Lineage: Bacteria; Pseudomonadati; Pseudomonadota; Alphaproteobacteria; Hyphomicrobiales; Rhizobiaceae
Description: bacterial SSU rRNA
Rfam family: Bacterial small subunit ribosomal RNA
Source: RNAcentral
AACGAACGCUGGCGGCAGGCUUAACACAUGCAAGUCGAGCGCCCCGCAAGGGGAGCGGCAGACGGGUGAGUAACGCGUGGGAACGUACCCUUUACUACGGAACAACUCCGGGAAACUGGAGCUAAUACCGUAUGUGCCCUUUGGGGGAAAGAUUUAUCGGGUAAAGGAUCGGCCCGCGUUGGAUUAGCUAGUUGGUGGGGUAAAGGCCUACCAAGGCGACGAUCCAUAGCUGGUCUGAGAGGAUGAUCAGCCACAUUGGGACUGAGACACGGCCCAAACUCCUACGGGAGGCAGCAGUGGGGAAUAUUGGACAAUGGGCGCAAGCCUGAUCCAGCCAUGCCGCGUGAAUGAUGAAGGCCUUAGGUUGUAAAGUUCUUUCACCGGAGAAGAUAAUGACGGUAUCCGGAGAAGAA